ACCCGAGUGGCGAAAUGGUAAACGCUCUGAAUUCAAAAUUCAGUGAUUAUAAAUAAAAAUCUUAUGGGUUCGAAUCUCAUCUCGGGUA
Molecule: transfer RNA, 88 nt
Filed under: Candidatus Shikimatogenerans bostrichidophilus
Lineage: Bacteria; Pseudomonadati; Bacteroidota; Flavobacteriia; Flavobacteriales
Description: tRNA-Leu
Rfam family: tRNA
About the family: Transfer RNA (tRNA) molecules are approximately 80 nucleotides in length. Their secondary structure includes four short double-helical elements and three loops (D, anti-codon, and T loops).
Source: RNAcentral